CAGCCGCCGCGGUAACACGGAGGGAGCUAGCGUUGUUCGGAAUUACUGGGCGUAAAGCGCGCGUAGGCGGUUACUCAAGUCAGAGGUGAAAGCCCGGGGCUCAACCCCGGAACUGCCUUUGAAACUAGGUGACUAGAAUCUUGGAGAGGUCAGUGGAAUUCCGCGUGUAGAGGUGAAAUUCGUAGAUAUUCGGAAGAACACCAGUGGCGAAGGCGACUGACUGGACAAGUAUUGACGCUGAGGUGCGAAAGCGUGGGGAGCAAACAGGAUUAGAUACCCGGGUAGUCCCUGUCUCUUAUAC
Molecule: ribosomal RNA, 301 nt
Filed under: uncultured bacterium
Lineage: Bacteria
Description: partial 16S ribosomal RNA
Rfam family: Bacterial small subunit ribosomal RNA
Source: RNAcentral